GACGAACGCUGGCGGCGUGCUUAACACAUGCAAGUCGAACGGAAAGGCCCGGCUUUUUUGGGGUGCUCGAGUUACGAACUGGUGAGUAACACUUGAGUAACCUGCCCUUGACGGUGGGAUAACUUCAUGAAACUUGUGCUAAUAGCGGGUAGGAUCUCCUGCUUCUUGGUCGGGGUUCGAAAGUUUCGGCGGUUGGUGAUGGACUCGCCGCUUAUCAGCUUGUUGGUGGGGUAGUGGCUUACCAAGGCUUUGACGGGUAGCCGGCCUGAGAGGGUGACCGGACACGUUGGGACUGAGCUGCGACACAGCCUAAUCCGGGAGGCGGGGGUGCAGAAUAGUGCCUUAUGGGAGGAACCCUGAUGCAGCAAAGCCGCGUGGGGGAUGACGGCCAUCGCGUAGUAAUCCGAUUUUGUCUGUGACGAAGCGUGAGUGACGGUAAUGGGUAAAGAAGCCCCGGCUAACUACGUG
Molecule: ribosomal RNA, 468 nt
Filed under: uncultured bacterium
Lineage: Bacteria
Description: partial 16S ribosomal RNA
Rfam family: Bacterial small subunit ribosomal RNA
Source: RNAcentral